Molecule: unclassified non-coding RNA, 18 nt
Filed under: Chlamydomonas reinhardtii
Lineage: Eukaryota; Viridiplantae; Chlorophyta; Chlorophyceae; Chlamydomonadales; Chlamydomonadaceae
Description: small RNA Cre_1850
Source: RNAcentral
GGCCGGACACGGUGCGGU